CAUUUGCGUUAGGGAUAGGAGUGAAAAGCCCACAGCCUGAAAUCAUCAGGCGAGGACUUGAAGCGUAUAGCCCGACCCGAA
This 81-nucleotide small RNA is filed under the name Aquimarina brevivitae. RNAcentral describes it as "Flavo-1 RNA". Lineage: Bacteria; Pseudomonadati; Bacteroidota; Flavobacteriia; Flavobacteriales; Flavobacteriaceae. The record is from RNAcentral.